RNAcentral lists this ribosomal RNA (484 nucleotides) under uncultured bacterium. RNAcentral describes it as "partial 16S ribosomal RNA". It matches the Rfam family "Bacterial small subunit ribosomal RNA", at positions 30 to 507 of the family's 1533-position model. The record is from RNAcentral.
AUUGAACGCUGGCGGCAGGCCUAACACAUGCAAGUCGAGCGGAUGAAGGGAGCUUGCUCCUGGAUUCAGCGGCGGACGGGUGAGUAAUGCCUAGGAAUCUGCCUGGUAGUGGGGGAUAACGUCCGGAAACGGGCGCUAAUACCGCAUACGUCCUGAGGGAGAAAGUGGGGGAUCUUCGGACCUCACGCUAUCACAUGAGCCUAGGUCGGAUUAGCUAGUAGGUGGGGUAAAGGCCUACCAAGGCGACGAUCCGUAACUGGUCUGAGAGGAUGAUCAGACACACUGGAACUGAGACACGGUCCAGACUCCUACGGGAGGCAGCAGUGGGGAAUAUUGGACAAUGGGCGAAGGCCUGAUCCAGCCAUGCCGCGUGUGUGAAGAAGGUCUUCGGAUUGUAAAGCACUUUAAGUUGGGAGGAAGGGCAGUAAGUUAAUACCUUGCUGUUUUGACGUUACCAACAGAAUAAGCACCGGCUAACUUCGUG